This is a long non-coding RNA of Pseudopipra pipra, 6326 nucleotides long. RefSeq lists it as uncharacterized. The record is from RefSeq and is a predicted model, not a curated record. The transcript has 3 exons. Lineage: Eukaryota; Metazoa; Chordata; Aves; Passeriformes; Pipridae.
ACACCUGGAGGAGGAAGACAGGGAAGAGCUGUCAGGUGUCACUGCUGCUCCUCUUUGCCCCCGGUGUAGUGCUGAAAAUGUAGUGCUGAAGCCAGGCUGGUCACCCCCUUUCUGUUCCUUCUGCAGGACUUAUCACUGAACUCAGCUGUUUUCCCCAGGUAUGUGCUGGAGUUAUGAUGUCCAAUUUCUUGCCCAAGGUGCAUCUGCUGUCUCUAGUCCAAGAUGAGAGAUGCUUUCCUCCCACCAUCCGACUGCAGUAGCACAGACUUUAAUGGGCUGAAGAGAUGCAGAGCUGAGGGAAUGAGCCACAUGCAGAGAAGACACAGAAAACAUGGCCUGCUGCUCCUUGUGCUCUAUCUGCACUGGGAUAAACAGCCUGGAUUAGGCUGGGAGCUGGGAGCUGGUGCUGCGCAUGCCCCCCAGCUCCUGGUGCCUCUCCCCCUCUCCCUUGGAGCCCCCAGAGAAGCUCCCCAGCCACCUGCCUGACCCACCAAGGCUGCCUUUGCUGUGCUCUCCUCACGCAUGGCUGGAUAAGCUGACCUCAUGUAUGAUUUUUCCCCCCCCCUCCCCUCCCCGUCCUUAAUUCUAGCAAACCCCGCUCAGAGGCUCAGCAUAAGCUGGAUGAACGAUCUCUCUCCCCAUCUUACAAUCCUGCCCUGUCUCUGACCAAGCAGAGGAGGGAAUUUUGCAGUUUCUAAAAGGGAGGAAGGAAGAAAACGUGUUCUAGGGGGCAGAGGCAGACACACUCAGCAUGCUCCACUUGCAACUGUGUUUUAGUGAGAGCUGGAGAUGCCGUGUCACGGCUGAAAGCAUUAACAGCCUCCAAGCAUUGGUGCUCUGGGAGCAAGUCACAAAUCCAAGCAUCCAGGGGGAGGAAGUGGCUUUGGCUGGUACCUACACAGGAGGGAGGCUGAAUUUCAGAUGCUCCGUGUCCCCUCUGCCUCUGGUGAGGAAGGAUUUUGGCUGAGCUGUCCCAGCCCUGUGGCAGAGGUGAUGCCCAGCCCCAGAGUGCUGCAGAGCCUGGCUCUGAAUUAUUCAGUGUCCACACAGCGUGGCCUCCUUCUCUCACUUCAGAACGAGCAGACGAGAGCAAAGCAGGCAAGAGAGUGGGUUAAAGCAGGUCAAAGCCUCACUGCUGCUGCUCUGGGCCCAGCCUGAACAGAGCAACAGCUUCUGGGAGCUGCAGCUCUCCUCUCUCCUCCCUCCUCCUGUGGUGGGAGCGAGGGGAUGGGACCAGCUCCAGGGCACAGCAUCACAAUCCAGCUGAAGGCAAGUUUAAGAGCCCCAGGGGAGUGGGUACGAGGAAUGCAGGGACUGUCAUGCCCCUUGUUGUCCCUGAAGGUUGGGAUGACGUGGAGGGUAGUGCUUGGCUCCAGUCCUUGACCCUGCAAGUCUCACAGUGGGAACAGCAGCCCUGGGGGGCCACCACCUGGUCUCUGAGGUGGCCUGGGAAAGCCUCAAUAACCCCCUCCACACAUAGCACAUCGUUGCUCCUGGCAUCCCCCACCAAGAGCCAAGCAGAUGUUUUGAGGUGCUUCUGGCUCCAAGCUGCUGCAGUGCAGGAGGGCGAGACCUGUUAAUUUGGCUGCAGCUACAAAACCUUCACCAAGCAGUGGGACCCAGACUUCUUGCUCUAGGGAAAACAAGAGCAGUCAGAUGUGUCUGCUCAUACACACACACUGCUCACUUGCUGCUGAGGUGGGCUGGGAGCUGAGCACCAGCUCCUGGGACAGCCCCAGCUGCCUCCUGCCCUGGCCAGUGGGAUGGAGAUGGGGUGGGUGCUCAAGGACGUCCCCCAGCCACUGCAUGUAGGUGUGAUGGAGCUCUGCUCUUCCCAGAGAAGAUCCUCACUUCCUAAUUGGUGUAAACAAGGAAAACUAAGUAAAGAGAAAGCAGAGGCAGACAUUCACCUUGCCUGCCUGGGCCCAGGUCACUGAUUUUUCUCACUUGCCCUUUGCCACCGUGCAGAAGUUUUUUUAUCCAAAGGAUCAAUUUUACCAGGGAAUUGCUUUCUGAAUUUGACCUUUGAGGAUCAUCAAUCUAAGCAGGGAACUGUAACCCCAGCAGGCUGACCCCUCAGCACAGCACUUUUCAGCCCAAUCAAUCAGGCUGCAUUAUUUAAUGGCCAACAGCCGAGCACUGUUAGCCAGCCCUGAUUGCCAGCCCUGUUUUGGGGAGAAGGUUUUUGCAUCCCAGCCUUCCUGCUGCUUGGGCUCAGAGGCUCAUCUUCAACCCCUUCUUCAGGCUUCUCUGCCUCCUUCUCUGGGCCUGCAGCCCAAGGACAUGUGCUUGUUGAUGGUCUGUGCACAGCCAAGACUCAGCUGGCAGAGACUGGAGUAAAUGGCAUUAGCCCAGUCCCCUGGGUGGGAGCUGCUAGUCCUGCCUGCCUCUGCCCGUCUUCCUCGGCGGCCAGCCACGGCAGGAAGGAGAGGAUGAAGGGAAAGGUUAGGAGCUACUUAGCAGUGAGGCUUAAAUAGCAGGCUCGGGGCAGACACCUGCGCCGUGUCCUGCAGCGAUGGCCCCGCUCCAGCCCCGGGGCUGCUCCAGCAAAGUGCUGGUUGCAAUAUGGUCUCUCUGGCUCUGGAGGGCUGAAGAGCCAGGAGUGUUUCUCCUCCAGCUUGUGGGUCAAGGCACACACUGACAGUGCUGUUUCUCAGUGAGCAUUCAGAGCCCAUGGUGGGGAAGAGCCCGAGGAGAGCAGCCCCAGAGCACACCUGUGAGCAGCACCCAUGGCCUGGGGACACCCAUCCUGCACUGGGUAGCAGGUCACACAACUGCAUUGUGCAUUAAACAGAGACUGGCUCACACUGUUCCCAGCAAGGGAGGCUGGGGCACUGUGUGGCCCAGGACGUUACAGUUUGCACAAUGGGGUAUUUAGGAGCUUAUUUUAGUGCAGUUGUUCAGCUGCUGCCUUUCCUCAGAGUGGUGCAGUGCGAUCUGAUGCUGCCAAUGCCUCCACCAGGGAACAUCACGGAGCUUGGAGCGCCAAGGAAAGUUUACAGGAAAGUGUCCUUCUUUUUUUUCUUUUCUUUUCUUUUUUUUUCCAGCCAUAAAGAACAGUUUCCUGCAUUUCUCCAAGUCAGCAUCCUGGAGGUCACAGCAGUGAGCGGCUGGAGAGGUGUCUGGUGCCAAGCCCACGUGUGAGGGAAGGAGAUGCCCAUGCAGAGGAAGGGGAGACAGCUUUGCUGGAGAAGCCAAGAUCAGCUGGAGGGUCUCCAACAACUUCAACAGAGCCAGAAGGAGGAAUGUCCAAGCAGGGCAAAGCAGCCCACAUGCUGCCAGGAUGCACUUUGCUCUGGCACCCCUGGAUUGAACUGAGGUACAACUGCAGGGGAAGUGCAUUGAGCUGCUUCAAUGUGCUGGCCAGGAGGGCAGAGCAGGAGACAGUGAGCAGGCCAAGCAGAAACUGCUUCACCUUUAACAGCAAUGCAGCAUCGAGCACAACUGACCAACAUCUCAAAACUGACCAUGAAUGCAGAAAAAUACAUCCGUUGCAUGUGGGUACCACUGACAAUCAACCAGCUCCAUUUAUUGCAGGAGGUGCUUUUGGAGAUGGCCUUGAUCCUCCAGGUCUGGUGUCCCUGAUCCUGGCUGUUGGAAGACUGUGCAAAGUUGGUCUGCUCCACUAGCACAAACUCUCCAAGUCACACUCCUGAAGAGGCACCAAGAGCACACAAGAGGAAAGAAGGAAAAGAAGGAGGGGAGCACAAAGGGCCUUUCCCUUCAAUUCUUUUGUGUAACCAAAGCAGCAGCCAAGGAAACCAUCAGAAAAGCAAGAAAAGAGGAAAGGAAAUGCUGCUACAAAACUGGAAACCUCAUCUUGUUGGUCCCUCUUGGGCCUGAGUGCAGCCUGAGAGGAGGCACUGUUCCAUGGAGCUGCUCAGGGAUGAGGAACACUCCCUCCUCCUGCCUUCCUCCAGGGACUGCUCAUCACCAGCAGGCUGGACAGACAGACAGACAGUGCAUGCAUUGGGGCAGGGGAGGAUAAAGGAGAGAAAUCCUAAUAUAAAUCAGCCUAAAAUUGAUUCGCUUCUGCUCAAUGUGAUUUCUCCUAACUGGAUCCACAUGUCCCGGCCAUGGCACAUUAACUUCAAUUACAGCUUAUUAAUGUCUCCGUGAUGGAGCUUGGCCUGCUGAGCACGGCGGUGACUGACGUUAUGGAGGGGAAAAAAUUACUCCAAAGAGACUCAGCGUGUAAUGGAAAGAGAAGCAGCGGCUUUCAUCGCGCCGGCCCCGGCAGCCGGGGAAAGCUCAUUCACCCGUUCCUGAGGAGAUGACUGAGCUUGUUGCUGCACCGAGGAGAAAAUCAAGCAAUGGACAGAGAUCUGUGGGGAAAGUCUUCCCGCUUCCCUUCCCCACCCUGCCUGGCACACACACACACGGCACACAGGCCAAGGGCUCGCUCGCGUCUAUUCCUGUCCUGACUCUUCUGCGUCUCCAGUUACUCCGCGGAUCAAUAGGGACAGGAUGGUAGAAGAAAGGAAAAAAAAAAAGAAAAGAAAAAGAUACCAAGAAGAAAGAGAGUAAAAAUAAACUGUCAGCCAUGAACGGAGCAAUGGACCCGGCUGAGGCUGUGGGAGGAGGAGAUGCAGAGGAGACCCUGAAGCACCAGCCCAUUGCACCAGCUCCCAGGGAAGAAGCAGUGACCCCCUGGAGUCACCAGAUCCUCUGUCAAACUCUGGACCACCCCAGUCCAUCUGGCUUCUGGGAGAAGGCAGAGAAUUCAUUCCCCUUGUCACCGUGUCCUUUGCUCCAUCUCUUUCUGCUUUUCCCUAAAGCUCUGGGAGACUGUGGUGAGGGGUCUUUUGUGGUGGGAGGCUGAGGUGUGAAGGAAGGGGUGGGCUUGGAUGGGGGCCCAGGAGCACAUGGAGUGAGGGGAUCACAGAAACCUCUCUGAACCCACCUGCCAAGGCUGCAGCAGGAGAAACUGCCCCGGCUCAUGGUCUGCUCUGAGGGCAAAGUGUUUUACUCUUCCCUUGACUGUGAACAUCAACUAGAAACGAGCUGCCAAGUGUCUCAUCACCCCGUGGGCACUGCCAGCUGCUGCCAAAAUCCCGGUGCUGUGCAGGGACAGAGGCAAUGCCAUGCUCUGACAGCAUACACUGCUCCUCCAAUGCCACACACCAUGGCUGGGCAUGGCUCCUCCAGCCUCCCAGGGCUGCUCACACCUCUGCUCUGCAGGUGGAAUUUUCUGGCUGCUUUUUACCUCUGAGCCCUCAUUUUUUCAUAAUCAUCUUCCCUCUUGAUUCCAUGCCCCCUGCAGUGGAUCCCUAACACCACUCCAAUUUUAUCUACGAACUUUCCUUCUGUUCCUCAAACACAGUCGUUCCCACAUGCUGGAAGUGGCAGUGUGUGUCCAUCCCCAUCCCUGCCUACCCUUCCUCCCCCCUUCCCUGCACAGGGCUCCUGUCAGGCUCACAUUGAUUUCUCCUCUCUUCCUCUCAAUAACCCAUCCCUUGUUGAGCCAUACACAAGAUUUAAUUUGGUUUUAGUCCCUGCACUGUAACUGGCUUUGCUUACAGCUGGAAUUAGAUUGCUUUUCAGUGAGAAACCUGCUUGCUGGGACUGGAAUAAUCACAGGAGCAGAGUUAAUUCACAUGAGGCUUCUCCAUCUUAUACACCACUUAUCCACAGUUCCUCAGCUGGUCACCUUUUCCUGUCCUGUGCCCACCGGGGCUGGAAGAGUCAGCACAGGACAGGCAUCGACCUUUUCCCUGUCCAAGCUGUGUCCCCCUCUCCUGGGAACCAUCCCAGCAAGCUGGGAGAGCUGGAGCAGUGCAAAGCUGGGUCUUGCUGCAGCUCAAGACUUGGGAGUUUGGGCUGAAAAAAAACAGAUUUCAUAGUUUUCUGUGUUCCCAGCCAAGGAAAAGCCCUGUCCUCCCAGAGGCCCUGCUGCAUGAGAGGAGUGGGUCAGGCAGCUCGUGGUGAGUGGAGCCAAGAGGGAAGUGGAGGCGAGCGGGAGCCGCUGCUCUGCAGCAGCCGUGGGCAGCCGGCCACGCCGGCACAGAGCCAGUGCCAGGGGGAGGCUGCCAGGAACCAGCCAACAAACCCCAACCUGUCUCAUCCUGGCCCCAGCUAAAAAGCAGCAUUGCAGCUUCCACCGGGCGUUCACAGCCCGGCCCUCCCUUGCCAGCCCUGUCCUUGGGGUGCAGGUGGCUGUGGAAUCUUGGAUGUCUCAGAGAGGUUGUGACACGCCCCCCCCUCCCUCCCCACCCCAGCCAUGGGUGUUUGAAAGGGUUUCCCUCCCCCCGCCCUAGUUCUUUUCGCAGAAUUUUUUUGGAUUUUAACCUCUUGAACCGAUGGCUGCUACUAUUAAAUGGUGUUAA